Molecule: long non-coding RNA, 175 nt
Filed under: Coturnix japonica (Japanese quail)
Lineage: Eukaryota; Metazoa; Chordata; Aves; Galliformes; Phasianidae
Description: lncRNA (ENSCJPG00005002081.1)
Source: RNAcentral
AGCAUGGAAGUUCUACUGUGAGUCAGUUUCCCCAGGUCAAGGCUGUUGGAUGACUGAUGCCCUGACUAAUUUAACAUCUAGCAAAGGUUUAUAAUUCUUGGACAAAACUUGUCCCACCCAGAAGGCUACCCUGCUCCACCCGUCAUGAGCAAGGGCUACUGAAGGGUUGUUCAAC